RNAcentral lists this long non-coding RNA (9271 nucleotides) under Gallus gallus (chicken). The record is from RNAcentral. Lineage: Eukaryota; Metazoa; Chordata; Aves; Galliformes; Phasianidae.
CAGGAAUUCAAGAACCUGAGAGAUCCUUCCAGUGCUGUGAGGGACACACACUGCGUGUCUCAUGCUACUGGUAACGGACCUUGGUUUUAUUUGAGAAAAUACAGCACCGCUAGAAGCCUUUUCCAUCAUCUUCACCAAGGUAUGCAGCGAUGUGAAAAGCACAUAUAAAACAAGGAAAAAAUGUACAUAGCAAACUAUACCACCUAUGUGCAACACAAUCAAAAAUUCAAGUCAUAAUUCUCACCACUCCCGUAAUUAUUUCACUCAUUAAGGAUGAUAAUUCAGUUCUAUGAAACGCUGGAAGUGACAGGAUAUCGAUAAUCAGACAAAUUUACAAUAUGCCGUGGUACUGACAUCACUUAAAUGCUGUAUUUAAAUUCAAAUCUUUUCAUUUACACGUAGCCAGAGAAAAGUUGGCUGUUCCUACUGUACUGAUGAGGUUUAUUUUGCAAAUUUUUACGUAUUUCAAAAGGGUACAAAAAAGUAUGUUUGCUGAGUGGAGGCUGUCAUUUAUUUGGCACUUGUAUUGUGUGCAUUGAGCACGUUGUGAGUGCUGUUCUGCUUCUCUGCCAUCGCCUUCUUCAGCUUUAACUCCUCUAGCUUUCUCCACAGCUCUUCACGUUCCAAUUCCUUCUUUUUCUCUCUGUGGAAAAGAGUGAGGUAUCAAUUUCAGACGCGUCUUUUAGCGCAGUGUGGUGAUGCAGGUACCAAAACAGCUGUGGUCUACACCUCGUAAUCUGCAGCUUAAGUUAAGUGUUUUCCCCAAAGCUAUAUUCAGAGGCAUUCCAUUUCCUCUAUUAAAAAGUAAGCAUACAAAUUAGUAAAGACUAGCAGUAAAACAGUAACUGCGCUCUGACAUGAGUUUGUCAGAUGAUUGCUGUAGUGUGGUUUUGCAGAGAUGACUGCAGUUUGGAAACAAGAAAGAUACUGAGCACUUUGGGCCAGUGGAAGUAGAGCUGCUGGAAGGAGCCUUAGCGUGCUAGCACAGCUGCAGCAGCACUGGUGGGUGGUUGGUGGGAUAACGGAGGCGUUUGAGCAGUGAGGUGUUUUCCAGCCAAGCUUUCUCCAGCAACAGGCCCUGAAGCAGAGCCAGCACCAGGCGGCCCCCACCGCAGCAGUAUCCACUGUGUGCUUCUACAGAACCCCGCAGCCACAGCAGUUAAGUGCUAGAUUUCAGCUGGUACAUUCUAGGUAUGGAUUCAGCAUCACCAUCCAUUUGGACACACAAACAAACAAAAACCAUCACCUUUGCCUUUCUGCUUUAUACGAGCUGGUAAGCUCAUCAAAAAGCUUGCCGUUCAUUUCCAUCAGUGUUUUCAGCACAUUAUAUACCAGUGCCACGAUGGUUCUAGAAUGGAAGGAUCACAACCAUUAGAAUUAACACAGACUUCAAUAAGCAACUGUUUGGUUUCCUUUUUGGACCCUGAGCUUUGUCUUUAAGGUGCUCCUGUAAAGCCCAGUUUUUGAAAGAAAAUCUUGUCCUAUAGCUCCCUCCAUAAACGAAUAAAUGAGUAUUUAACUUUAAACUCCCAACUCCCGUCAUCACAUAACAUACAACUGUUGGUACUGUGACAGCACUAUAAAGCCAUUAAUUAUGUUAGCAUUUAAUGAACUGAAUUCUCACAAGGGUUUUUAAGUAUUUGAGCAAUGAAACAGGAGCGUCUCAAAGGAUAAAACUUCUGGUGCUAAGCCCGAGUUUGGCAGUUAAUUCAAGAAACCAAAUAGCUCAAGCAGUACUGCUGUGUCUUAUGUAAAUUACAUCUUGACAGCCACAGAUCAUUUUCCUUUUUGACUCUAUUUGUGAAGAUAUACUCAUGUCAUUAAGUUAUCUUAAUAAUGUUUAUCUCCUUUCAGCCCACUCUGAAUUAUUACACACAAACCUGCAGAAAUUGCAGUAAAGAUGAAAAAGGUGCCUAUCUUUCAGCUUAUCACUAAUCAAAAAAGGUGAGCUGUAAGGUAAGCUGUCUCCCCCUCGUUCCCCUCGCUAGUGGAUCACCUUCACACAGCAGUAAGGAGCAUAAGGCCGUAGAGCAGGGAUGCCAUGCAGUCAUCGCCUUGAAAAAUGAGUGAAAGAAAAAACUAAGGCAGUAAGCAAAGGACCAGAUUUGCCUUUUCAGUACUCUGUUCACUGUGGCACCUUUGAGAUCUCUCUCCUGCUGACCAGAGGCCUCACGCUCACCCAAAAUGCCCACACACUGAAUGCUGGCUGUCUCACGGUUUGAAGACAAAAGCUUACUUAGGUUAUUGGUUUUCUGAGAGGAACAGCCUGAUCCUAAGUGAAUAAUUAAGACCACACUGGGCAGGUAGAUAGAUAUAAAUAAGCUUCUCUGUCCUUCAAAUCAGAUUAAAACCACAGGGCUGUACUUGCUUCCUGAACUUCCUGCUUUUCAAAGCAUACCAUUAAUUUGUGUCUUUCGUGCCCUUCCUAAAUUAGGAGCACCUUCUGUCUGCAGCCAGGGGAAAAGGGACACAGUUCAGAUUUGUCGAGGCCUGCAGGCACUACUAAGGCUCCAAGAACCAGGUCUCCCGUAGUUACAUUCAGGCUCAGCUGGUACUUUUGCAUUGACACGCACCGCCUGGAUACAUUCAGAAUAAUCUCAGCCUCUGAGGGCUCUUAACAGGUGUCUGAUUUGCUUAGACUGCAGAAGGCUCCCGCCUGUAAAAAGCUUUCUGUGUUCUACAGAUUGACUCAGUGUAGGGUGCUGAGCACAGCCAAACCUUGCUAAUAUUUUAAGAUUUGGUGUCAUUACUUUGUCUUGCAAAUAUGAAAAAAAAACAACCAAAUUAAGUAGGAAAUCAAAUAACCAACACCUAAGCUCAAAUGUCAUUGAACAUCACAACGGCCAUCCAAUUCCUGCAUUUUUGGGGUAAAUUCCAGUUCUCCGUCACAGUGCAGAACAGUGCAAGCACAAUAUUGCUGAAAAUGACAUCCAUUUUAGCAGAUUUCAUCUAAGUUCAAACGAAGACAUAUUUACAAGGUUAUGAUCUCAAUUCAAUGCAGUAGGCUUAAUGCAGUGCAUCUCUGGUACUGCAGACAGUGAGAUGUUACUUACGGGUUCCAGUGUUCUUUGGAGAUCUUGUAUAAACUACCAAACAUAAUUGGUAGAAUUUUAUCGAUGUUCUCCUCAAUCAGACUAAGAAUAUAUUCAUUAUUCCAAAAGUACAAAGCUCUUUCUGCAACCUGAAACGCAAAGGUUAGCGGUCAGCAACCAGAAAACAAAUGACUGCAGGUGAUUUUUGAAGGGUUUUUGUUUGUUUGUUUUUUUACCUGAAAAUGUGAACUUGACACACACUUGGAUAUUUGCUUAAAUAAAGGCUCUUCUAUUUUUUUGAAUUGUGUCGGCUCUAUUACAUCUAAGAUUUCUUCAAUUUCACCUAAAAACAUUACCUGUUUGUGUAAAAGAAAUACAUUAACAAGUAUGAGAAUGUUUUAUAUUGACAGUGUAAACAGAAACAAAAUAUGGCUUAAACAUGAGAACGUGCACACAGUGGUGCCUCGGGGAUCCACGGGCUUUUCUGCAGGCUGAAAGAAGGCAGAAGUGGUGCCAGAGACCUGGAUGCAGCUCCUACCUCGGGGUCUCCCUUUGUGUGACUGCUCUAGCACCUAACAGAGCUGCUUUUGCCCAAUGUUUUUCUUUACAGUUAAAAAAAGCUGCCACAUUUUACUUCCAAGGUAGCUGCAGAGGUUACCUUUGAGAUCUGCAGAGUAGCUGCUGAAGUGGCCAGUAGUUAUAGGGGUUUUAAGGUAGAGCCUGCAGGACAGCAGGCAGGUGGCAUGGAAACAUUCAGUGCCACGCAACCAAACAGACAACAGCGCCGAAGGGCCCCAUUCUCAGGCACCAACAGAGUGGUGUCAGUCCGGCUCCAGACUGUGCUCAUUUGAAUUACAGAGAAGAAAAGCCAGCCAGAAAAAAACAAUUUCCCCAGACCAUUAAGAGUUAUUUUCACCCUGUGGAAAAAAUGUAUGCACGCUUCACCAGAGUUCUAUUCAGCUUCUCCGUGGCUACAUCUGGGUUGUGUGUGGUACAGAUGACUGCUACCUCCAACAUAGUGUGACCACUACGGUACUUCUCACCUCAAAACUCUCAUUCUCUAUUAAGUACCUUAAUUAGAAUGAACUUCUAGCACAGUUUUAACAUAGCAGCACCACAGUGACAGCUGGCAUGCCAAAAAACUGCUCUGAGUAGCCUGACAAAGAUGAGCACUCUAUAAAGUUUCAAGAGCUGCAAGUUUGUUGCAAGAUCUCUUGAGAAGUUCAGCAGGGAUGCGGAGCACAACCCUGCCACGCUGCAGUUUGCAUCACAGCAGACAAGAAACAGAAGAGAAAGAAGACAAAACCAACCUCUUUCUGACUGCAAGUUUUGGGCCAGAAUUUGAGCAGUCCUCUGAUUACCUGUAUGAGAAACACAACCAAGUUAAAGCAGAGCACGUUUUUGUUACAUAUUUGAUAAGAUAGAGGAGAAAAAAAAAGUCUGUUUCUCCCUCAGAGGUUCAACAGAAACUGAAUUAGGCUAAAAGCAAUUCCACGAAAAUAAAUAUCUCAUUUAAAUAUUUCUCUUGCUUUGGUUACCCACUCCCACUGCACUACGUACACUGAUAGCAUGCUGAUAUUGUCAAAUAUCCCAAAAUGAAGCUCGUUUCCCUGUAGGCAGACUGCCAGUACUUUUACUUGUUCCCUCCUGACCCACACACCGCAGAGCACUGCACCCGGUGGGUUUUGUAGGCCAGGAGAAAGCAGCGCACAGACAGCACGAACGGCAAACUGAGGGGUCCCGGCCUCCACCAAACCUUUUUUUCUUCUAUGACUUUAAGUGUCAAAGGCUGGAAAGUAGAAAUGAUGGGAACUUGCAAAGAAAAUGUAUUUCAGUAUCUACACUGGAAACUGUCUCACGUAAGACUGGAAAAACCCUUUGGGAAACGUAAUUGGAAAGCACCACCUCCAAAAGGAGCAGCAGCUGUUCCCCAGAACAGACACCUGGCCCAGCACCAACCUGAAGCACGAAUGCUGGCUGAAGAAAGCCCAAACUGCACCUUGCAGACACAGAAACCUUCAAGCAAUGCGAAAUUGCAUUCUGAGGAAAGACCUCAGCUUGUAUGGCAUAGCAGCACCUAACAGAUCAUUCCCAGCUGUAGAACGUAAUCUACUAUGUGAAUGCCUUCCAUAUUGCAAUUUUCCCAUGUUUUUUUCCUCCAGUCUUCCCAGCUGGCUGUUUGGCUCACAGCUGUGUGUACCGUCACAGGUGACGUGCUGACAGUAAGUUAAUGAUGCUUGGUGCUCACUGGAUUUUAUCCUGGGAUACGCAAACUAGAAGACUGGCUGUCACCUGAGAUGGAACUCAGCAAAUGAGGACUUCAUGUUUGAUAUUUUUAAAGCACAAGUCGGAACACGUACAGUCUGCCAGUACCUUCCCUUCCCCAGACAACACCAGAAAGCCAAAAUAAUUUCAGAUGGGUACGUCUUCCAAAGAAAAGCUACUGGAACCUAAUGUAUGUCUCUGUAACCUGAAGCAUGAAUGUACUGAUGUUAGAGGCACAGAGCUGGGUCAGCUGCAACAGCCCGGUUUCCAGCAGUGGGCAAUGAGUGCUGAAUAUACUUCACUACAUGGACUCACAUUCUCAACUUGACAAAGAAGUAGUAUGUUCCUGCUAUAAAAGUGCAAACCUCUAUAACACACCUAUUCCUUGCUCUUUAGAGAGAGUAUCAGUUUCCAGCUUGACCACGCUCUUACACUGAAAAGCUGAGACGUGCAUAUUUAAGUUCAAAGCCUUUUUUCCAAGAUCUGCACAAAUGUAGAUCUGAAGUUGUACUGCUCUUACAGCACAAAAUACACAUGGUUAAUAUUCCUCCCAGGGCUACGAGAUUUCUAUAAAGCUGACUUACACCAGCAGACACCUGCUAGACAACUUCCGUACAAGGGCUGCACAUUCAGCCUGAUUCUCAUGAAAUGAAAUUCCAUCCAUGUAAAGGCUGUGGCACUCAGCAGGGUUAGGUAAUGAGCUCCUGUCAGCUCUGCAAACAUCAAGACCGACCUAAGGCAGACUACCAUAGCUACAUGAGCUCGGAACGCACGUCCUCUGCAUUGACCCCGAGAGACAGUUCCUGCCAGAAACACAACAGUGAGGUACUCAUGAAGCCUUCUGAUGGACUUCUUAAAAUACUACUUCACCUACAGCCAAACAAAAUCCGUCUGCUAUUUCAUCAGCUACCCUAUCUCGUUUUAACAUCUACAUUUCAAGCACUUCAAGUUUCUUACAUCUUCACUUACUACUAUAUAUCAACUUUGACUCUUCCUUUAUAAAGGCAACUUUACUGUAAGUUCACAUUAAUAACCAAAGUAUUUCGAUUUCCAACAUCUCCUUAAUGGAAGGAUUUCCAAUUGCUGACCCAACUGUUUCUGUCCCGGCUGCUGCAGCGCCGCUCCGUUUCCCCAGGAGCUGCAGCACUGCCUGCACGCUGUACGGGCACAGGCGGACUGCCGGCAGGAAGCGCUGCCAUUCCCUUUGUGUCCGGGAGGGCUGUGUGUGCUGCAGGAGAUGCAGUCUGGCAGAAGGCACUGAUGCCCAAAGCACCUCUACUGCAGCUGCCGGGAGGUGUCCCAGGAACCAAAAAGACAAACAUCACAUUUGGAAUGUCAGCAUCCUUACUGUCUAAAUGAAGUGCUCUUUCUCACUUCCACUUUGGGACAGUGUAUUCCCUGAAAUAUUUCACGUUUCUGCUAGGCACGAGCCAUCGGCACCGUUAAUACUCAAACUGUAGCUCUUAGCAGGAAGGAACACAGCUGUUACAUGCAUUCUCAUAUGAGGGGAUUUAUGUGAUCUCUGUGGUUCAAACUUUUAUUUCAACUUCAUCUCGGAUGCAGGCUUAGAGAUAACUGCAAUUCCAAACUCAGGACUUUCUCCUACACUUUCUUUCCCCCCUAAAAAACGCCUAUGGAUCACAAUCAAGAUAUCAGAUAGCACUGCUCUGCAAUUCCAGUCAACUGCACUGAAAUACUAAGUUGAAAUUAAAACCAGAAAAACAUGCAACUGAAAAACACUUACAGGCUCUGUUAAAGUUGUAUCUUUCUCCAGGAACUGUACAACACAAUAGGCGAGCUAGAAUAUAAGUCACAGAAUUAUUUAAACAGACACUGGUUAGACACUGCAGCAUAACUAAAUAGCACAGCUUGUAAUGAGAGCACUUCAGAGCACGAAAAAAGAAAACAAGAAAAGAAAGGCUGAAGCCCCAAACACUGUAUUCUCCCCCACCUCGGUGAUCGCUGCCCAACGGCCUGAGGAGUGAUACUGUACAUUCUAUAUUCACUUAUUUACAUAGUGUUUACUUAGCACACAGCUAAGUGACAAACAGCCAUAGCUCUGCCAUGUACAGAAGCCACACAAAGAGUGACAGUUCUAAUUUCCAUCCAGAUUGAUUUUGAGAAAUCACAGUAUGCUUCAUCUCACAAUAUGACCCAGAUACAAAAUGAUUGCUGUGCAUUACCAAAAUGUGUAUUGCCAAACCUGAAAUCAAGAACUACCUUUAUGUUUGUUUGAUUUUGAAUCUGUUAUCCUAGAACAGGUCACUACAACAAGCCUAACUUACUGCUGCUACUCAUAAGGAUGUGUGUGUGUGCAUUCAAAAGAACAGUACAGCACACACAGACUUCAUAGAUUCCCAUUAAGGCAUUACUGUGCCACUUACCCACUGUUCAGAGACACAAAGGCUCAAACUUAAGCCAGCUUUAAGAUUUCAUCUUUUAAGGGCAGGCUCCUUGUGCUGUAGAAACACAGCAGUGAGGUUACACCUGCCUGCAAAGCAGACUCAGUGCUGGUUUUGGGAUAACAUGAAGGCAGAAACACAGCGAUGGGACGGCUCCUUCAUUUCCAAGUGCUGUUUUGGUACAUAGCACCGUGGUUUGUGACGGGAUAGACAAGUAGCCUGCUCAACAAACCAAAUGCUGCCUUCCAGUAUCCAGUACAGCUGAGUUUAGAGCAUCCUUUCAGGUACCAAUGGACAAGAUUAAACAUAUCACAGAAAAAGGGCAGCUUGCUGUACUGCUCUAUCAAGGAGAAUGCUUUUGGCAUGUGAGCGGUUCCUUCAUUUCACGUGGCAGCCUAUCGCACAGUAAUAAACCACAAAGAUGAGUGAUCUCAUUAAUUCCUAAUUCUCAUAUACAGUUUUUACUGAGCUCUUAACUUGAUCCUGUUUGUAGUCUAUACAUUCAUAAUGAUUUUGCUUUAAUUGGAAACUCAUUUCCUUGUUUUGUCUAUAAAGGCGCUGUAUUAGCUGGCAGACUAAGUUAACAAAGCUAUUUUUUAAUUAGCCAAGCUGAAUUACUUGUAAGUUUACAUCAAACAUAUUCAAUGCUCAAGUGCCAUAUGUCUGGAAAGAAUACACAUUAUUCCUCCAAUAAGAUGAUGAACGGCCACACUAUGCAUAAGAAUGGCAGUUAAAUGAAUAACUGCUGCAUUCUGACAGCAUGUCAUGGAUCUACAUAAUUUCUAGCUGAGCUAUUAUGCAUUUCUGCCAUUUCUACCCAAUGCCCCUCCCCCCCUCACAAUCACUGGAAGGUUUUAGAAAUAAAGAAGCACUUCUGGAAUAAGCAGCUAGCCACACUCAGGGUUCCUUGGUACACAGCAUGAAGGUUACGUUAAAAAAGUGAUAAGAGAACAGAACAAGGGCCUGGGAUUAAAUGAAGCUUGGAGUGUGACAGACUGCCAAACCAGAAAGCUUCCCACUGCAGCUGAUGUGAGUUCAAAUCACUGUUACAUUCCUUCACUUUUAAUACAUGCUAAAGCCUUAUCUCAAAAUUAACAUUUAUAAACAAGAUCUGCAAGAUCUUAAAAAAUAAACAUUUACAAAUCCCUCAAACUGUUGACAUUAUAACACACGCUGCUUCAAACUUUCAUUGGCUUCAAAUGCAAAUACAGAGAAAACCACUACUCUUAAAAAUAGGCGAAAGCUUACCUGUGCGUGAAACAAAGCUAAUCCCUUUGCAGUAUGCAUGGGAAUCAGAACUUUCAUAAGGAACUGUUUGUGUUCCGCUUUCAGUGGCAGUGCAAAACCAUUGAUAAUACUUCCUAAUAUCUCAAGAAGUUCAGCAACACCAUUGAAGUGCUCUGUUUCAUAUAUAAACCUGAGGAAAAUGUUAUUGAUCUGUUUUCUGAUGAAUGCUCUUAAACCAAGGAAUUUGCCAUAAAUUCGAUGAAGAACUGUCUUCAGGAAAUCACGUUCUCGUGGGUCCUCACUAUCAAAGAGCUCCAGUAACUGCUGUACAAAUUUCUGGUCAAU